Molecule: ribosomal RNA, 1342 nt
Filed under: Giardia duodenalis
Lineage: Eukaryota; Fornicata; Diplomonadida; Hexamitidae
Description: LSU rRNA
Rfam family: Eukaryotic large subunit ribosomal RNA (bases 799-1342)
Source: RNAcentral
GGGAUGGCGUCACGGCACUCAUGAGAGUCGCAGCCAGAGGGGACACCAAAACGACUGAGCUGCUUAUACCAGUCCAGAAGGGGAUGAGGGAUAGAGGUGGGGACACGGCGUUCAUGCACGCCCUCAAGAACAAGCACAUAGACAUAGCUCUGCUUCUUCGCGAGCAUGAGGCCCCCUCGUGGACCCCGCUCAUGUGCGCGGCCUUCACUGGAGAUGUCACAACAGUCAAGGAACACCUCUCAGACAAGGACACGAGGAAUAGUGACGGAGACACGGCGCUGAUCAUAGCCGCGAGGGCGGGGCACAAGGACAUCGUGGAGCUCCUCGACCCCACCGAUAAGGAUGGAGUCACUGCCCUCAUGCGAGCUGUUGACAGAAACGAUCUGAUGGCUGUGAAGGCCCUCCUUCCUCUCCAGGGGGGACAGAAAACGACGGGGAAUGUCAGGAUAGGCAAGCUGAUUAUAUACGGUGGAACGGCGCUGAUGAGGGCAGUAGCACACGGCCACACAAGGAUAGUGGAGCUGCUCGUGGAGAAGGAGGGGGGCAUGAACGAUAAUAAUGGUGUGACAGCCCUUAUAUGUGCAGUAUGGAAUGGCCACCUAGAGUGUGCUAAGCUACUCUUAGAGAAGGAGAAGAACAUAAACAGGAGUAGGCUCUUGGACAUAGCCAAGGGCAAUGGAGAGAUACUAGCCAUCCUCUCAGAGUAGCCAGAGUAAACAACUACCGCCUCCACAUCAGACCUUACACAUCAGAGCCCCGCCACGCAGCAGGACUCCGGGGUCAGCAGCCUCUAGCGCGGGAGCGAACGCGGCUCAGGGAAGUCGGCAAGCCGGCUCCGUAACCUCGGGAAAAGGAGUGGCUCUGACGGCGCGCCGGGUCAGAACUGGAACGGACGCGGGGAUCCCGACUGUUUACUAGAAACACAGCGUCGCGAGGGCCGCACCCGGCGCUGGCGCGACGUGAUUUCUGCCCAGUGCCACGACCGUCACCGUGAAGCGAUCCGCCGAAGCCCUGGUAAACGGCGGGAGUAACUAUGACUCUCUUAAGGUAGCCAAAUGCCUCGUCGGGCAAUUUCCGACGUGCAUGAAUGGACCAACGAGGAUCCCACUGUCCCGAGCCGCGCCUCCGCGAGCCUCCAGCCUCGGGAACGGGCGAGGGCCGGCCAGCGGGGCAAGAAGACCCUUUUGAGCUUGACUCCAGCCCGGGCCUGUGGGGCGGGGCGGCCGGCGCAGCGCACAGGGGAGGCCGCGCCCCUGAGACACCCUGACGGCCGCCGCCGCCCCGCUCACCCGGUCGCGCGGGGACCCGCCCGGGCGGGGAGUUCGGACUGGGGCGGCGCGCC